AGUGAACGCUGGCGGUAGGCCUAACACAUGCAAGUCGAACGGCAGCACAGUAAGAGCUUGCUCUUACGGGUGGCGAGUGGCGGACGGGUGAGGAAUACAUCGGAAUCUACUUUUUCGUGGGGGAUAACGUAGGGAAACUUACGCUAAUACCGCAUACGACCUACGGGUGAAAGCAGGGGAUCUUCGGACCUUGCGCGAUUGAAUGAGCCGAUGUCGGAUUAGCUAGUUGGCGGGGUAAAGGCCCACCAAGGCGACGAUCCGUAGCUGGUCUGAGAGGAUGAUCAGCCACACUGGAACUGAGACACGGUCCAGACUCCUACGGGAGGCAGCAGUGGGGAAUAUUGGACAAUGGGCGCAAGCCUGAUUCAGCCAUACCGCGUGGGUGAAGAAAGCCUUCGGGUUGUAAAGCCCUUUUGUUGGGAAAGAAAAGCAGCAGGUUAAUACCCCGCUGUUCUGACGGUACCCAAAGAAUAAGCACCGGCUAACUUCGU
RNAcentral lists this ribosomal RNA (491 nucleotides) under uncultured bacterium. Its description in RNAcentral is "partial 16S ribosomal RNA". It matches the Rfam family "Bacterial small subunit ribosomal RNA", at positions 29 to 506 of the family's 1533-position model. The record is from RNAcentral.